AGCUUUGCACAGUGACAGUAUUGUAGCCAGUGAAGUUUAUCCGAGGCGCGAUUAUUGUUAAUUGAAAACUCUUUUCAGCUUACAGAAUAUUUUUAAUACUCCAUUUUAUUGCCUUCAUUGACUUUUUAAAUAAAG
Molecule: small nuclear RNA, 135 nt
Organism: Leptonychotes weddellii (Weddell seal)
Lineage: Eukaryota; Metazoa; Chordata; Mammalia; Carnivora; Phocidae
Product: U4 spliceosomal RNA
Source: RefSeq, a predicted model, not a curated record